RNAcentral lists this transfer RNA (74 nucleotides) under Anniella pulchra. RNAcentral describes it as "tRNA-Leu". It matches the Rfam family "tRNA". From Rfam's summary of the family: Transfer RNA (tRNA) molecules are approximately 80 nucleotides in length. Their secondary structure includes four short double-helical elements and three loops (D, anti-codon, and T loops). Further hydrogen bonds mediate the characteristic L-shaped molecular structure. tRNAs have two regions of fundamental functional importance: the anti-codon, which is responsible for specific mRNA codon recognition, and the 3' end, to which the tRNAs corresponding amino acid is attached (by aminoacyl-tRNA synthetases). tRNAs cope with the degeneracy of the genetic code in two manners: having more than one tRNA (with a specific anti-codon) for a particular amino acid; and 'wobble' base-pairing, i.e. permitting non-standard base-pairing at the 3rd anti-codon position. Lineage: Eukaryota; Metazoa; Chordata; Lepidosauria; Squamata; Anniellidae. The record is from RNAcentral.
AUUAAGGUGGCAGAGCCCAGAUAUGCAAGAGGCCUAAAAUCUCUACUACGGAAGUUCAAAUCUUCCCCCUAAUA